UGAAGCCCCGGUAAACGGCGGCCGUAACUAUAACGGUCCUAAGGUAGCGAAAUUCCUUGUCGGGCAAGUUCCGACCUGCACGAAUGGUGUAACCAUGGCCACGCUGUCUCCACCCGAGACUCAGUGAAAUCGAAAUCGCUGUGAAGAUGCAGUGUACCCGCGGCUAGACGGAAAGACCCCGUGAACCUUUACUAUAGCUUGACACUGAACAUUGAGUCUGUCUGUGUAGGAUAGAUGGGAGACUAAGAAGCAUGUACGCCAGUAUGUGUGGAGUCGUUGUUGAAAUACCAUUCUGACAUGCUUGAUGUUCUAACCCUGCGGGGGACAGUGUCUGGUGGGUAGUUUGACUGGGGCGGUCUCCUCCUAAAGGAUAACGGAGGAGCACGAAGGUUGGCUAAUCACGGUCGGACAUCGUGAGGUUAGUGUAAUGGCACAAGCCAGCUUGACUGCGAGACAGACGAGUCGAGCAGAUGCGAAAGCAGGUCAUAGUGAUCCGGUGGUUCUGAAUGGAAGGGCCAUCGCUCAACGGAUAAAAGGUACUCUGGGGAUAACAGGCUGAUACCGCCCAAGAGUUCAUAUCGACGGCGGUGUUUGGCACCUCGAUGUCGGCUCAUCACAUCCUGGGGCUGAAGUUGGUCCCAAGGGUAUGGCUGUUCGCCAUUUAAAGUGGUACGCGAGCUGGGUUCAAAACGUCGUGAGACAGUUUGGUCCCUAUCUGCCGUGGGCGUAGGAAGAUUGAGAGGACUUGCUCCUAGUACGAGAGGACCGGAGUGAACGAACCUCUGGUGUACGGGUUGUCAUGCCAAUGGCACUGCCCGGUAGCUAAGUUCGGAAUCGAUAACCGCUGAAAGCAUCUAAGCGGGAAGCGAGCCUCAAGAUAAGUCUUGCCAAAUAUAGUUUGUAAGGGCCGUUCGAGACCAGGACGUUGAUAGGUGUGAGGUGGAAGAGUCGGAGAGACUUGUAGCUGACACAUACUAAUUACCCGAGAGUCUUAACUAU
Molecule: ribosomal RNA, 999 nt
Filed under: human gut metagenome
Description: bacterial LSU rRNA
Rfam family: Bacterial large subunit ribosomal RNA
Source: RNAcentral